RNA transcript from Oryza sativa Japonica Group (Japanese rice), 1445 nucleotides. It is a transcript of the gene named probable tetraacyldisaccharide 4'-kinase, mitochondrial, with no coding region annotated. NCBI's taxonomy places the organism in Eukaryota, Viridiplantae, Streptophyta, Magnoliopsida, Poales, Poaceae. The record is from RefSeq and is a predicted model, not a curated record.
AUAAACAGAAGGCCCAAGGCAAGGCAAGAGAGAGAGAGAUGGAGAAGUGGAGGCGAGUGGUGGGUGGGGUCGCCGGCACGCCGGAUUCCGGCGUCCCUGGUCUCCCCUUCCUCCACCGCGCCCUCCUCCUCCCCCUCCUCUUCGCCGCCUCCAAAGCCCUCCGCCUCCUCUCCCACCUCCAGCGCCGCACCUCCACCUCCACCUCCCUCCCCGUCCCCGUCGUCAGCGUCGGCAACCUCACCUGGGGAGGGAAUGGCAAGACCCCCAUGGUCGACUUCCUCGCCCGCGCCUUCCACCGCAUCGGCGUCUCGCCCCUCAUCCUAACCAGGGGCUACGCAGGCGGCGAUGAAUCCAGGAUGCUCCGCCGCCGCCUCUCCGAUACCUCCGCCAAGAUUGGUGUCGGUCCCAAUAGAGCGGCUGUCGCUACCUCCAUGCUCCGCAAAUAUGGUGCUCAAAUUGGAGUCGCCAUACUAGACGAUGGGAUGCAGCACCUCAGCUUGCUUCGAGAUGUUGACAUUGUCAUGAUCAACGCCCUCAAUCCUUGGGGGAACAAACAUCUCAUUCCACGAGGACCCAUGAGGGAACCACUCACUGCACUCACCAGAGCUCAUAUUCUCCUCAUUCAUCAUGCUAACCUGGUUUCUCAACCACAACUUAAAACAAUUCUUUCCACGGUCCACGACAAUGGCGCAACAUGUCCAGUCUUCUUUAGUAAAUUGGUACCAUCGCAUAUUUUUCAAGUCAACCAACCCAUGCACAGGCUUCCUCUUCAUGUGCUGCACGGUAUAAUCGUGCUAUGCGUUUCUGCUAUUGGCUGCCCAGAUGCUUUCAUUCAUUCUGUUCAAGAGGAAAUUUUAGAAUGUUAUUCAUUCAUUGGCUGUAGAUUGGCCCUCUCAAGAUUGAAAGGUUGGAUUUCAGCGAUCACCAUUCCUUCAGUUCUCAUGACCUGCAGCUUAUCCAAGACACGUUGAAGAAGCUUGUGUAUCAGCACAAAAAUAAUGCUGUUGUCUUGGUUACAGAGAAGGAUUAUGACCGUGAUCCAGAUGUCCUUAGGGCACUGGAUGCAAAGGUUUGGGUGUUGUCGUCUUGUCUGCAAAUUAUACCCCAUGAGGGACAAGGAGAUGAUGAAUUUAUGAGGAAAGUGAGGGAGAUUAUUACAGCGAGUAGGCACGUGAAAUUAUAGGAGGGGGCCUAGCCAAGAGUUGCUGAACAUUUAGUUAGAACCAGCUGUAAAAGAAUUUUGAGGCAAAACUAUUUUGCCAGUAGGAUCUGGUACUGCUGCAUCUUGUUCAGGAUUGGUCGAUCAAUUCAAUUCCUGUUGCAGAAUAUGCAUUAUUGAUCUAGUUGUAUUUCCGUUGGAUCAAUGAAUUAAAACCCCAAUUUUAGCUGGGCUUGAUCGAACAGAAAGUGAAGUGCUGCCCUGAAACACCAGCUUAGCUGCUUCA